UCAGCGGGUGUUCCUUGCUGUUGCCACUGAAGACGUGAGACUCGAGAUUGUUAAGCCUUUGAAAGCCAGCUUGCACCAGUGAUUCUCCAGGGAGCUUCUCGUCCUUCUGCCUUGGAGUGGGGCUUCACCACGGGACCCUCUUGUUCUCAGACUUCCAGCUUCUAGGACCAAGCAGCUACCGAUUUCUUUCCCCAGAUGUCCAGACUGCAAAUUCCAUCAUGAAAUACUCCAAUCUCUGAUUGUCCAAAGAACCAAGACAAGAUGAAUAGAUUAUGACCUUCAGUGACAAAAGGAAAACCCAUCAUUUCAGACCAUUUCAGCGACUGCUUUGCCAGUGGUUCUUUUCAGCAUCUGUCAAGGAGUGUUGAUGGCCAGGCAGCUUCCCCAAAUGGCUCAUCAAAGGAUCCUCGUUCUCUUUUCCUCCAAAGUAAGUUUUAACAACAUAUGAUCUGGAAAAGAGAGGGACGAGUACUAAGGAAUAAAUAAACAUCAACAAGAAAGCA
This is a non-coding RNA of Heterocephalus glaber (naked mole-rat), 503 nucleotides long. NCBI's taxonomy places the organism in Eukaryota, Metazoa, Chordata, Mammalia, Rodentia, Bathyergidae. The record is from RefSeq and is a predicted model, not a curated record.